GAUCGAUUGGCUUAGUGGUUAAGCACCUGCUACACAAGAAAAUCGCACGGGAUCGCAGUCGAACCCUGCAUCGAUCA
Molecule: transfer RNA, 77 nt
Filed under: Aspergillus udagawae
Lineage: Eukaryota; Fungi; Ascomycota; Eurotiomycetes; Eurotiales; Aspergillaceae
Description: tRNA-Val
Source: RNAcentral